UCCUACGGGGAGCAGCAGUAGGGAAUCUUCGGCAAUGGGGGGAACCCUGACCGAGCAACGCCGCGUGAGUGAAGAAGGUUUUCGGAUCGUAAAGCUCUGUUGUUAAGGAAGAACGUGUGUGAGAGUGGAAAGUUCACACAGUGACGGUACUUAACCAGAAAGGGACGGCUAACUACGUGCCAGCAGCCGCGGUAAUACGUAGGUCCCGAGCGUUGUCCGGAUUUAUUGGGCGUAAAGCGAGCGCAGGCGGUUAGAUAAGUCUGAAGUGAAAGGCAGUGGCUCAACCAUUGUAGGCUUUGGAAACUGUUUAACUUGAGUGCAGAAGGGGAGAGUGGAAUUCCAUGUGUAGCGGUGAAAUGCGUAGAUAUAUGGAGGAACACCGGUGGCGAAAGCGGCUCUCUGGUCUGUAACUGACGCUGAGGCUCGAAAGCGUGGGGAGCGAACAGGAUUAGAUACCCUGGGUAGUCC
RNAcentral lists this ribosomal RNA (468 nucleotides) under Streptococcus constellatus. Its description in RNAcentral is "bacterial SSU rRNA". It matches the Rfam family "Bacterial small subunit ribosomal RNA", at positions 337 to 796 of the family's 1533-position model. The record is from RNAcentral. Lineage: Bacteria; Bacillati; Bacillota; Bacilli; Lactobacillales; Streptococcaceae.